This 544-nucleotide ribosomal RNA is filed under the name uncultured Glomeromycotina. RNAcentral describes it as "SSU rRNA". It matches the Rfam family "Eukaryotic small subunit ribosomal RNA", at positions 548 to 1098 of the family's 1831-position model. Lineage: Eukaryota; Fungi; Glomeromycota. The record is from RNAcentral.
UUGGAGGGCAAGUCUGGUGCCAGCAGCCGCGGUAAUUCCAGCUCCAAUAGCGUAUAUUAAAGUUGUUGCAGUUAAAAAGCUCGUAGUUGAAUUUCGGGGUUCUACCGUUGGUCGGGCUUUGUCUGUACUGGUGUGUAGAAUUUCUACCUUCUGGGGAACCAUCAUGCUAUUAAUUUAGCGUGGUGGGAAACCAGGACCUUUACCUUGAAAAAAUUGGUGUGUUCAAAGCAGGCUUAUGUCUGAAUACAUCAGCGUGGAAUAAUAGAAUAGGACGGUGGUCCUGUUUUGUUGGUUUCUGAAUCACCGUAAUGAUUAAUAGGGAUAGUUGGGGGCAUUAGUAUUCAAUUGUCCGAGGUGAAAUUCUUGGAUUUAUUGAAGACUAACUUCUGCGAAAGCAUUUGCCAAGGAUGUUUUCAUUAAUCAAGAACGAAAGUUAGGGGAUCGAAGACGAUCAGAUACCGUCGUAGUCUUAACCAUAAACUAUGCCGACUAGGGAUCGGACGAUGUUAAUUUUUCUUGACUCGUUCGGCGCCUUACGGGAAAC